GGAGUGGCAGACGGGUGAGUAACGCGUGGGAAUCUACCCAGUUCUACGGAACAACACAGGGAAACUUGUGCUAAUACCGUAUACGCCCUACGGGGGAAAGAUUUAUCGGAAUUGGAUGAGCCCGCGUAAGAUUAGCUAGUUGGUGGGGUAAUGGCCUACCAAGGCGACGAUCUUUAGCUGGUCUGAGAGGAUGAUCAGCCACACUGGGACUGAGACACGGCCCAGACUCCUACGGGAGGCAGCAGUGGGGAAUAUUGGACAAUGGGCGCAAGCCUGAUCCAGCCAUGCCGCGUGAGUGAUGAAGGCCUUAGGGUUGUAAAGCUCUUUCAGUGGGGACGAUAAUGACGGUACCCACAGAAGAAGCCCCGGCUAACUUCGUGCCAGCAGCCGCGGUAAUACGAAGGGGGCUAGCGUUGUUCGGAUUUACUGGGCGUAAAGCGCACGUAGGCGGAUCGUUAAGUCGGGGGUGAAAUCCUGGAGCUCAACUCCAGAACUGCCUUCGAUACUGGCGAUC
RNAcentral lists this ribosomal RNA (514 nucleotides) under uncultured bacterium. Its description in RNAcentral is "bacterial SSU rRNA". It matches the Rfam family "Bacterial small subunit ribosomal RNA", at positions 92 to 641 of the family's 1533-position model. The record is from RNAcentral.